CCUACGGGUGGCAGCAGUGAGGAAUAUUGGUCAAUGGACGAAAGUCUGAACCAGCCAAGUAGCGUGAAGGAUGACUGCCCUAUGGGUUGUAAACUUCUUUUGUAUGGGAAUAAAAUGUUCCACGUGUGGGUGUUUGUAUGUACCAUAUGAAUAAGGAUCGGCUAACUCCGUGCCAGCAGCCGCGGUAAUACGGAGGAUCCGAGCGUUAUCCGGAUUUAUUGGGUUUAAAGGGUGCGUAGGUGGAUUUAUAAGUCAGUUGUGAAAGUUUGCGGCUCAACCGUAAAAUUGCCGUUGAAACUGGCAGUCUUGAGUACAGUAGAGGUAGGCGGAAUGCGUGGUGUAGCGGUGAAAUGCUUAGAUAUCACGCAGAACUCCGAUUGCGAAGGCAGCUCACUGGACUGCAACUGACACUGAGGCACGAAAGUGUGGGUAUCAAACAGUAUUAGAUACCCGUGUAGUC
Molecule: ribosomal RNA, 460 nt
Filed under: uncultured bacterium
Lineage: Bacteria
Description: partial 16S ribosomal RNA
Rfam family: Bacterial small subunit ribosomal RNA
Source: RNAcentral